GACGAACGCUGGCGGCGUGCUUAACACAUGCAAGUCGAACGGAAAGGCCCUGCUUUUGUGGGGUGCUCGAGUGGCGAACGGGUGAGUAACACGUGAGUAACCUGCCCUUGACUUUGGGAUAACUUCAGGAAACUGGGGCUAAUACCGGAUAGGAGCUCCUGCUGCAUGGUGGGGGUUGGAAAGUUUCGGCGGUUGGGGAUGGACUCGCGGCUUAUCAGCUUGUUGGUGGGGUAGUGGCUUACCAAGGCUUUGACGGGUAGCCGGCCUGGGAGGGUGACCGGCCACAAUGGGACUGAGGGACGGCCCAGACUCCUACGGGAGGCAACAGGGGGGAAUAUUGUACAAUGGGCGGAAGCCUGAUGCAGCAACGCCGCGUGCGGGAUGACGGCCUUCGGGUUGUAAACCGCUUUCGCCUGUGACGAAGCGUGAGUGACGGUAAUGGGUAAAGAAGCACCGGCUAACUACGUG
Molecule: ribosomal RNA, 468 nt
Filed under: uncultured bacterium
Lineage: Bacteria
Description: partial 16S ribosomal RNA
Rfam family: Bacterial small subunit ribosomal RNA
Source: RNAcentral